Lagopus muta (rock ptarmigan) is the source of this 10173-nucleotide long non-coding RNA. RefSeq lists it as uncharacterized. The transcript is spliced from 5 exons. Lineage: Eukaryota; Metazoa; Chordata; Aves; Galliformes; Phasianidae. The record is from RefSeq and is a predicted model, not a curated record.
AGCUGGAGAUGGGCAGAGAGGAACCAGGUAAGAUUCAACAAGAGCAAGUGCAGAGUCUUAUACCUAGUGUGGAAUAACAUCAGUGGAGGUUAGAUGCUGGCUUGCUCAAGAAGAAAGGCUGAGAGACCUGGGACCAUUCAUCCUGGAGAAGACUGAGGGGAGAUCCUAUAAAUGUUUACAAAAAUCUAAAUGGCAAAAGUCAAAUGGAUGGGGAUAGGCUCUUUUCAGUGGCGUGAAGCAGCAGGAAAAAGGGCAACAUAACAAGUUCCAUACAAACAUGAAGAAGAACUUCUUUACUUUGAGGUUUACAGAGCAGUGGAACAGACUGCCCAGAGUCUCCUUCUCUGGAGAUAUUCAAGACUUUCCUGGAAGCUUCCCUGUGCUAUCUCUUCUAGGGACCCUGCUUUAGCAAGGGGUUGGUCUUGAUGAUCUCCGGUUCUCUUGCAACCCCUAUGAUUCUGUGAUUCCUUACAGAGUUGCUAGAGAAUUCCCAAGCAGCCAACUGUGGCAACUCUCCACAGAAAAUAAUGCUUGAAGCAGUGCACUUCUUCAGAGCAGUUUGCCACCAGAGCCUUCCCUAAUAACUGGUGGGUCAUUGCCUCUUUACCUUGGAUCUUGUCCAUGCCUGUGAGUGAUUAACCUCCCUAGCUCACUCAGUGGCUUCAUCAUGAGCAGAUUUCCUGGUAAGCUUCGUAUUUUUUUUGUGCCUCUCAGGUAUUCUGAGUUUCCUGAUGGAGCCACUUUGGGCCUCCCAAUAGGAAGAAAGGUUCCUGCUCCCUGGACGCUGCCACUGAUGUUUGUUCACCUGACUCCCCACCCGUACCCACUGUAGCUAUGUGUUACCACAUUUCAUCGUGCUUUUUCUCCUGAAACACUGCCAAAUGCCACUUCACCUUUAUAGCCUGAAAAGGAAGUCAGGAAACUUGCACCAAACCUGAUCUAGACUUCCUGAGCCAAACUUUUGCAACCUGCUUAGAGGUCCUGAGUUGUGGUAGCCUGAAGGAAGGAGGUGUUAAGAUAACCUCUCCAACCCAGGAAUCCACUGGAUUCCCCCACUGCUGCAUGCCAGGAGAUGGGCUUUGCCUCUAAGCAUUAGUAACCCAAAGAAACAUUUUUUCCUCCAUUUUCUCUCUAAAAAUUGGUGUAAAUGAAAGCUAUUCAAAACGUAGGAAAACGAAGAGUAGCAAAGCUUAACUUUGUAGAGAUAUCAUUUAAAGGCAAAUGCAGUAAUGUUUGUGGGAUUCUCAGCCUCCGUGUUUUGGAGGUCAUGGCAGUGACAGGCAGCUGUCAGUUCAAGCACAGGGAAAUAAACUACCUGAAAAAUAUCAAAGUGAAUUGGUUACCUUCAGGUAAUUUGGAGAUGUGAGGCUUGUCUUGUCUCUUAGAUGUUGCCUGUCAAGUUUUUGUGAGGCUCUCAUGGCCUAGCUUACAACUUCAUGCUUGCACAACCCAGCUGUGGGGGCAAAGGGCAGCCAUGGGGUUGGCCCUGGGUGCAGGAGGUGCAGAGAUGGCCCUGCUUGGCGGGAACUGAGCAAGCAAGGGCAUCCCUAACCUAAACCUUAUAGGAAUAAGGUUUUGAACUGCUGAAACUUGAUUUCAGCAGUUUGAUUCAGCAGUAACAGGAACAAGCCUGAGAUAGCAGAUAACAGAUGUCCAAAUCAAACGCACUUGAAACCCUCAGAGAGAUGUUGGUCUGUCAUUAGAGCAAUGCUAGACUGUGGCCAGUGGGGACCUGAAUGUUAAUUUUCCCCUCCCAGUGGUCUGUAUUAUUUUAAAAUUUCCUCUAGCAAGCAUUCCAUUAAUGUGAUUUCCUCACACUACAUUUAGCUGAGAAAGUUCCAUCUCCUUUAUUAAAAAAUGAUUUUUCAAAUAAACUUAUUCCAGCAGAUUUUUGUUCUGAAGAUGAGGAUCUGAAUAAUGCUGGAGGAAAAAAAUUGCUGCCUUUUCUUUUUCUUUUUCUUUUUCUUUUUCUUGUUCUUGUUCUUGUUCUUGUUCUUGUUCUUGUUCUUGUUCUUGUUCUUGUUCUUUUUCUUUUCUUGUUAUUUUUCUUUUUCUUUUCUUUUUCUUUUUCUUUUUCUUUUUCUUUUUCUUUUUCUUUCUCUUUCUCUUUCUCUUUCUCUUUCUCUUUCUCUUUCUCUUUCUCUUUCUCUUUCUCUUUCUCUUUCUCUUUCUCUUUUUCUUUUUCUUUUUCUUUUUCUUUUUCUUUUUCUUUUUCUUUUUCUUUUUAUCUACAGAGUGCUGAUGGCCAGGACUCAUAAGGAACCAAGUGGUCUGACAUGGAGCAGCUCCCCACACAUCCAAUUUGACAAACCAAGAGGAGGCACAGCAUUUUAAGGCCAGCUUAUCUGGCCUAUGGCAGAUUCUCAGACAUAGUAAAAAACUGCAGCACCAUUAACUUCACUGGAGAUGGGUCUGCUUACAGCAGGUGGCACAGUGUGAAACGCAGUUGUCUGUCUAGGGAAGGAGGUGUGAAAUGUCAGAGGCAGGUCCUGACAAAUGACUUAUAUUUAACAGCAAAAGAGAAAUGGAACAAAGUCUCCAUUACUUUUUCAAUGCAAUUAACUGCUCUUCUACUAAUACCACAAAUCUGUUGCUCUGUGUCCUCCUACAAGCAGUAGAUACACACUCACACAGAUCACAAUUUACAGUGUGCUAAUAAUUUCUGAGGACUCUUCUCAGGAAAGUCUUACAGUAUUCCAUGCAUUCACAGGUUACAACAAAAUUAGGGCAAGGAUCCUGAAAUAUUCCUCCCAGAUGUUAAAAAGUCAAAGUGCCCCUGACGUUGGGAACAAAAGAGCUCAUGGCCUAUUUCCUGGGAAGCCCAAGACACCUACUGAACAGAGCAUCAGAGAGGUCUGAUGGGAUUUUGGUCAUGACUGUACCAUGCUCUGAUCUGAGGUGAUAAAGCUGAGGGCAUGUCGUAGGGGCAGCAAUCCCUGCCAGUGACUGCCAGCUGCUUGCCUGGUAGAUGACAGUGUCAUCUUGGCAACAAACCUUUUCUUUCUUUCUGAACUCUCUGACUCAGAUGAGCUCAUUUUUGCAGCUUUUUUCUUUUUAGGGGGAUGCCAUUCUCUAUGUCUUCUGCCACAUAGCAAAUGUCAUACCACUGAUUGAAAAACAAACCCUCCAGGCCUUUGUAACUGUUACCUUCGUAAUUUCUGGCUACCUUUUAGUUUUCUGAAGGCUGAGACUGUCCUGAGUGAUGUGGGAGUGGAAGGGAAGUUGGGAGCAUUUAUGGCAUGCUGCAGCUAGCAGACCCACAGCUGCACACCGCACUCUAUCUCACCUUCUGUGGAUCAGGCUACGAAGAACCACUCUAUUUGCAGCAUUGCAAGGAAUCAGUUUCUAGGUCUCCAACAUUGUUUUAUUAAUGAAAACCAAAAAGUUCAAAACUGUGCCAAUUAGGAAAUCUUAACAGGCUUUGCCUUAUUCUUCAGAUCUGUGGUAGGUCAUGUAUGGAAGAAUAUUGUUUCAUGCAAUUAUAAAUUAAUGAGGAGUAUGUUACUAGUGACAAUGGACUCUUUGUGGCUUAUGGUUUAAUGAUGAGUACUUUGAAAAGAAGACUUUGUGCUCUCAGGGUAAUUUAUGUUAGAACAGGAGCAUCUGUAAACUGCAGGUGUCUCAUUAAAUUCUGCUGGUGAUUAGAAGAAGCAGCCAUGUGCAGAGAUGUUCAUCAGGGGCUCCAUGAUUUGUGUUGUCAUGCCUGUUUUUUUUCCUGAUAGCUACACACUACUUAGCGUUGUUGCUCAGCUGCUAUGAGCAGAACUCUGCAAAAAUAGCAGGUUUCCAUUCAGAAGUGAAUGGCAUUGGGCCAACUAUUGAUUUAUGGACUGACAUAUACCCCUGCAUAAUGACUGCAAGAACGUUUGGUACGUACCUGCUACCUUUCUUCUGGAGUACAUUAAAAAUAAUUUUCCACUUGAUAAACGGAGUCAUACAGCAUGAUAUUUUUACUGGUCAUUUUCAUGGAGUGAGCUGCAAAGUGUGGCUUUAUACAGAGACACUGUAGAGAGGGAGGCUGAGAAAGUUUGUCUGUAUUCCCAGUUCUGAUUAAAUAGUUUGGCCUGAAGACAAGAUGGAUAUGUGCCCAUUUCUUCCCACCCCUGAUCUGAGAUUGAAACUUGGUAUAAUGCUUAAAUAUAUAUAUAUAUCUGCCUUUAAAAAUAAUUAUUUGGGAGAUAAAGUUAUAACAUUCAAACUUUUAACAGUAGUGGUACAUUAUUUAGAAUCCUCCUUUGUCUUAUUCAUCUCAACAGCUAUAUGACAUUUAUUUUAUAAUAUCCACAGAGUUUCUUUCAUAAUUCGCUGCUAGCUACAUCUUUUAAAGGCAACUAUCUUUUAAAAUCUUUGCACCUCCUUUGUUUGUGUGGUCCCUUUUUUUCCCCUUUAUCUUCCAGUUCAAUCUAGAAUAGACAAGGAGUGGUGGGACUCUCUCAGUGGUGAGGUUCUCUUUGGGAGGAUGUAUUUAAGUGACACCAAAGGGCACCAAACUCCUAGGCUUGAUUCUGAUUUAUUUUUUUUUUUUUUUGGUAUGCUGAGGUCUUGCAGUGAAUGUAGAUUAUAUUGACACCCACUUCUGAUCCUGUAGGUCUUUUAUAGAGCAGUGAAAAGGGGUCUAAAUGUGAGAACGAAUUCAAGCAUUGCAUUUUACUCCUGUCUUGCACAGCACCUAUCACAACAAAGCCUUUAUCCACUUAGCUCAAAAGAAACAAGAAAAUAUUUUUAAAAAGUGUUUAUUGUCUUAGAAGUUCAGAUGGAGAACUUAUUACAUAGAGACCAAAUAUGUGCUUUUGGCUCCCCCCAUGUAAACCACAUCCACAGAUGCAAGAAACAUUUAGUUUUUUUUGAGUAAUAGUAGUUAAGAAAGGCCAUUGUGUUUUUUCUGAUUUUAAACUGUAUGAUCAACAUUGUAGAAAAGGCUGUAUGCAGGCACUGGGGCGUGGAGAUGACCCGAUCCAAUCUCUCACUCAAAUAUGCCCACUUAGAGCAGAAUUCCUGGGGUCUUGUCCUUUUGCAUUUGAGUAUCUCCAAAGACAGAGAACCCAUGACUUCUUCUUUGGGACCCUGUUCCAGUACUUGAACUUCUUCAAAAUAUUUUUCUUCAUGUUAGGCUGGAAUUUCCCAUGUUCUGCAUUGUGUUGUUGCCUUUGUUUGCUCACCACAUGCUUCUGAGAAGAGUCUGGCCCCAUUUCCUGCAUGUUCCAUUUAACUGCAGACUGAAGUCGCCUCUGAAGGCUAAAGAAGCCCAAUUCUCUCAUAAAAAUAUUCUCCAUUCUUAAGCAAGAGCAAAGCUGGAUUUGUUUUGUACAACUUUCUUCUGAUGAAAAGAUGUUGUUAUCUUCUUUUAAUAGCCCUUCAUAGUUCCAGAAAUGUCCACAGAUGCAUACAAAUACCAAUUAAAAACCUAUGCCUAUGGAUUCAGCAUUGCUCCAACUCUGCUCUGCACUCCAGCAUAAGUGCUGCUUGAGAACACGUCCUCAGGGAAGCCAGCUUAAGUAUUUAGUGCUGUGGAACUGUACACUCCAGCUACCAGAUGCCCAGGCAGGUGUAGGGAACCUUUUUUGGCAGGGGGGUUGGACUCAGUGAUCUCUGGAGGUCCCUUCCAACCCAUACAAUUCUGUGAUUCUGUGUGUGUGCCUGGGAUGAAAUCCUUCUUCCAUCCAGAGUCAGCAUCUUAUCUGGCUUUGCAAGGUCCUGGACUUCAAAUGAGACAGUGCUAUGGUGCUUUGCUGCCUGAAAUAUGAAAGGAGGGAAGCCCAAUAAAUCCUUUCACUUCCUUCACACUUUCCAGAGAAAAAAAGUCUUAUUUCAUAGAGAGUAUUCAGACAACUCUUAUCUGUUUCCUACAUUGAAAAGCAGAUGGUAUUAAAUUUACUUUUACAAACUUCCCGCAGUAGGCUAUACUGGGACAGCAGGCCUUUUUCAACAACAUGUAUAUCAGACUUCCAAAAUCCCAGAGCUAUGGGAAUAGGGUGAAGUCAACCUAUAUUUGGAAUUAAUAUUUGUUUUAUUUCACUGCCCUUCUGGACAUGAAUAUGGUGUUGCCCUGAGAUGUCAGCUUCAGCCAGGCAAUCUGCAUUGGAGGAGCAUCAGUGAAUGAUGGCAAUAGCAUGAGCCAAGUGCCCCACCACUGUGCCAGGGCUUGGAUAGGGCCUGCAGCCAGGAGGGGUCCUUUCAGCCUCUGCUCUGCCUUCUUUCUUGGACAUACAAGAAUGCCAGUUGGUGAAAGUUAUGAAAGAAACUAUCAUCACAGAAUCAUAGAAUCAUGGAGUAUCCUGAGUUGGAAGGGACUGACAAGGAUCAUCCACUCCAAUUCCCAGUGGAUACACCUCAGGACUGAGAACUGGUUAAAUAUUCAUGCAUUAGCAGCCUACUAAGACCCCAAAGGUGGUCAUAUUUCCUAGUGAACUUGCUCUUAAGAACAGGGAGAGUUAGUACUCAUAAUUUCUUGCCUGUCAGCACUAUCCAGACCUUCUUUUCACUUUCAGUCAAAGACUCAAAUACUUUGUGUUCUUCAUUUUACCUCUUCUACAUUCAAAGUUUUUUUUAAGAUUUAUUAGUGCCUUGGGGUGACUCUGGGCAAUGAUACCAAGAAAGCCUUGAGGGGAGCCAGCCUGACAGAAGGAGCUGUACUGCACAUCCCAAACACCAGCGCACAGCUUUCCUCUAACUUUAUAGAUCACCAAGCCAAGGACCACCCUCUUACCAAGUGGGUGACAAAAUGACAGGGCACUCAACUUCAAUAGCUCUACCUGUCAGUGAGUGACAUAAGAGGCGGAGAUGGGCGAUCUGCUGUCCUGAACUAUCAGGAGUGCCUCAUCUACCUGCUCAUCUCUCCAGGUAGUGAAGAGAAGAAGCAGGAGCUAUGUCCUGUUGUUCCCUGCCUCUUCCUAAAGCUGGGAGGAAGCAGCUGCAGUAUGGGUGGGUCUGCAGCCCUUUUGCCAACAUACCAGCUGCCAAUGCUGAGCCAAUGUGCAUGACAGUGACUGUGAUGGAUGUUGCUGAUGUACUCAGAGAGCACCUUUGGACUGAUUCUGAGUCAGUGCAGCUGAGCUUGGGCUACAGUGAAAUGUCUGUGUUCUCACAUACAUUAAAUGAAUAUAUAGCUCACAUUACUCCCCCCUCUGCCUACUUAAAAUGCCAGGAGCUUCUGCUGUUUCGCUGACAUGAAUCAAGAGUGAACACCAAAAUGUCAAUGAGUCAGGCUGUUGUAAAUUGUGAUCCAGCUGGAGCCCUAAAGUAUGCCUAAUAUCAUAUGUGAAUUAAUCUAAGUACAUAUACAAGGGAAAACAAACACAAAAAGAAUGAGGCAGAUCCCUGCUACUUUGCAGAUUCCUACUGCAGACAUUUCAGUGGUACUCAUCACUUUGUUGGCUGAGUCUUGGCUUCACUUCUUUGGUUUAAAGAGAUAUCUACUGAAAUGGCAGUUAUGCAGUAUACUUGCAUUAACUAAUGCUUCUUCAGCAAUAUUGCUUUGGCUGAUACAUUACUGUUCAUCUGACAUUUUCUAAGAGCUGGAGAUGUGAGUUUGAUCCAUCAAAUUUAACUCUUCAAUCACAUAAGAAAUCUUAGUGAAAUCAAUGGGUAAAGAUGUGGAAUUUGAUUAAGCAUUUCAUUAAGUCUUCAUUAUUCCUGCGCAGUGUGUGAUGUUCAUUCAUAUUACUAAUUCAUCUUGCAUUUGCCCAAUUUGUACAGAAUAUAGUGGGAAAAAUAAAAAUGCUGUGUACUUGGACUUGAUCCUCAUGGGUCUUUUCCAACAUAGGAUAUCCUACGAUUCCAUUAUUCAGUGAACAUUUACAUAAAGUUACAGUUCAUCAAGCAGAUGCAUGAACAUUCAUGUGCACACCUGCUGUGUUUAUUCCACAAACAGUUUAAUAGGAUGACUAAAGGAAAGCCUCUGGAUGUAUGUUUGUAAGGGUUAUUUUUUCUUCUUCCAUGCUCUAGACUGGAGCUGUAGUGUUAAUCCAUGUGAAAGCAUAUCUGAACCUGAGUUUGGCAUUUAUUUGUAAUCUAGAAUCAGAUACUAUUUGUAUAAGUACAUUUGCUCAGUCUGAAGAGAAAGCUCCAGGGGAGACCUGAUAGGGGCCUUUCAGUAUCUAAAGAAGGAGCUGUAAGAUAGAAGGGAACAGACUCUUUGGCAGGGUCUGUGGUGACAGGACAAGGGGAAAUGGUUUCAAACUGAAAGAGGGGAGAAUUUAGACUGAAUAUAAGGAAGAAACUUUACAAUAAGGGUAGUGAAGCACUGGCACAGGUUGCCCAGAGAUGUGGUGGGUGCCUCAUCCCUGGAGACACUAAAAGUCAGGCUGGACGGGGCUCUGAGCAACCAGAUGUAGCUGUAGGUGUCCCUGUUCACUGCAGUUGGAGUCAGACUGGGUGAUCCUUAAGUGUACCUUCCAGCUCAAAUGAAACUACGAUUCUAUGAUAAAAGCUAGAUUUUGAAUACUGGAGUAACAACAUGGAUAUUUACUCACCUGCUAUAUAUUCGGUUGUAUGGGAACUGCUGAAUCAUGGCCUGAACCUCUGAUUGAUCACCUGAGGCGAGCAAUGAGUCAGCCAUGGGAGCACAGGUGAAGGUGAUUCUUCUGGAGAUCCGUCCUUUGGAGUUUUACAGCAAGCCAAGCAUAAGGUUGCUUGUCCAGAUAUGGAAACUGAUACUAGAAGCAUCAGAUUUUGAUGUCACAGUCUUGUACUCAUUACAAGCUGAAUUUCAUCACCUUCCAACCCAACUGCAUACCACAUUGUGAUCUGCCAAAAGAAAUGCCUAAUAACUUGGAGUGUGCACUCAGAUGCUAUCUGAACAGGAAUGCAAAUGAUGUGCUGAACAUCGAUGGAGAAUACAGGAAAAUAAAGAAGGAAAUCAGACUAAGCCUGUGACUUUACCAUUGCAGAGAGGAGCACUAUGAUGCACAGAAGUACCCACAAGUGGCAUGGCUUCUCCAGACCUCCCAUUGCAUUUGGUAGUAAAACAGAUGCUCUAGCGUGUGUUCACAUGCAGCUACAUCCUGGCAUAACUGAAAAAGAUAGGUAAAGCCUGCUUUGAAGAACUUCUGUCCUAUUCCAUUCUGCUUAAGUAUUGGCAUGCUUUUCUCAGUUUCUUGCCAUAGUUACCCACCCAUUCCCUGUUCAGCUGCUGUACUGCACCUGAAUAAACAAUGUAAGUGAAGGGAAGGUGAAGGGGAAUCACUCUAAUUGCUCUUAAUGACUAUAAGUUUAGGUUAUGUUUCUCAAGUGCUCUGAAGACUUGAGUGUUUGUGAGUUCUGAUAACAGCCUACAAGUUCCUGAGAACCCUUUAUAUUCACUCAAAGUGCAGAAACUCCAUCAAUGUCACCACAAAUUGCAAGUCUGGUUCAAACACUACACAGGGGCUCCAAUCCAUACAUGCAGUUCCCACUGAAAUCGGCAGAAUUCCCAUCUGCAGAAUGAAUGCAAGAUAUUUUCAACAACAUGAUGGUGUGCUAUAUCACCACUUAGAAAAAUGUACAGCUAUUCACCUUUGAGUUAUAGUCGUAUAAUGAAAAAUCAAACAGUAACAGUACCAAGGGUUUUCAUGUCACCAUCCUGGAAUCAUUUCCAUAUGGGACAGGCUGAAGACUAAAGCAGAAAGAUGGGUAUGUUUGUAUGCAGGGAGUUCCCUUGUGUCAGAUCAGAAGAUUCAGCUUUAGUGUUCCUUUCAGCAUCGCUACCAGAGAUAAUUACCAUGACUCAAGUUACAGCUUCAUUAAAAGCUUCCCAGAUCUCCUCGCCUUCAGGAGGCAUCCAUCAUCACAUCCAAAGGAUACGACCCUGUCAGUGUCAAUACGUUUGAGCAGGUGAAACAAAUCAGAACUGAAUAAAUAGUCCUGAAAACAAUCAGCAGGAUCUAGUGCUCUGAAGUAGCUGCAUGAAUUACAAAGAGGAAAAGCAGUGAAGAAGUUCCCAUGUCACUUUUAAAUGUUUGUUUUGCAAAAACUUGGCGGGAAAAUGCAUGAGAAGGGAACUGUCAUUUUUUACGCUGCCACUUUCAGAUUAAAAUUUAACCUCAAAUAUCCACAACUCAGCCCCAAAGCCCCAGCUUACCGUAAGAUCAUGCCUGAUAGCAAAGUUUUCUGGCUUGAUGUCACACAGGUGUAGGCGAUGAGAGAAAUCAUUAUCAAAAUGUUGCACCAUAUCCAGAAAGCUGAGUGCAAUGUCAA